GGUCUUUUAGUAUAAAGGUCGUACAUCUGCCCUUCAACCAGAUAGUAUCAGUUCAAUUCUGAUAAAGACUA
This 71-nucleotide transfer RNA is filed under the name Phanerochaete sordida. It matches the Rfam family "tRNA". From Rfam's summary of the family: Transfer RNA (tRNA) molecules are approximately 80 nucleotides in length. The record is from Rfam by way of RNAcentral. Lineage: Eukaryota; Fungi; Basidiomycota; Agaricomycetes; Polyporales; Phanerochaetaceae.